GACUCUGUCGGCUAAUUUUGAUUUUAUUUUUAUUAUUUAUUUUUAGUAGGCCGGGACAGGAAAACUCCGUUAUAAAUUCAUAACUUCUUCAUCCGACGUCCGUUUUUGCCUAUCUUUUCAUCGUUUCACUACAAUUAACGAGAUCUUCGAUUCUCAUUUAGAUUGUUUAGACCAAAAAUCACUCGAUCUCGAAUCGAGUAUGCGGGCUGCAUACUGCUAAGUCAAAACUUCAGAAAAUCAUAACUUCCUCAUACGAAGUCAGAUUUGGGCGUUCUUUUUAUGCACGCUCUCGGUUUAACGAACUCUAUGAAAUUCAUUUAGAUCACUAAGGCUAAAUAUUGCUCUAACAUAAAUUUCACUUUUUACGUCAUUCAGCGUUGUCGGUUCUGUCGCGAAACUUCGACAGGUCAUAACUUCUUCGUUAUAACUCGAAUUUCGGCAUUCUCUAUAUAUUCGGAAACCUCAUUUCAACUACUACAACAUUUUCCAUAGAUAUCAGCUUUAUCUAACAUUUUAUUUUGACGCUUAUUUUUAUUCUUAAUUACAUUAGGACACACAAUUAAGCACAAAACACAUAAUACUCAAAUAAUACAUUUUUAUUAUUUCAAAACGGGUUACAAAGGUUAACCUAGACUAUUAUAACAACAUUAAUGACAAGCCCAGAAACACAGGCGUUACAAUUCUCUCCACCUUAGAAUUAUUCCGUCCCCGGAAUCACACAUCAACAAAAAAAAAUGCGGAUAGCGACCCAUCAUGUCACUCUCCGUCUCCCAGGUGAGAUUCGGCCCAUUCGUGUGUUUCCAUCGGACAAGCACUAACUCGACCAUCUUGCGUCGCAACUUCUUAGUCUUUCGGUCAACGAUUGCCUCUGGUUCUUCAAUCAACCUUUUGUUCUCAUCGAUUCUCAACUCCGAAAGUGGAAUCAUGUCGGGAACUUCUCCCGUGAACUUCCUCAAAUAACACACAUGAAAAGUGUUAUGAAUUCCAUUCAGUUCUUCUGGUAAUUCGAGCUUGUAAGCUUGGUUCCCAAUCCUCUGAAGAACUUUAAACGGUCCAAUAAACCUUGGACUCAACUUUCCCCUUUUACCAAAUCUUAUAAGUCCCUUCCACGGCGAGACUUUAAGCAAAACCGAAUCUCCAACCUCAAAAGUCAUCGGUCUUCGCUUCUUGUCAGCAUAGCUCUUUUGACGAUCCUGAGCUGCUAACAUUCUUUCCCUAAUUAUUUUCAACUUUUCAGCAGUUUGAUGAACCAUCUCCGGUCCCAUAAACUGCUUUUCCCCAGCCUCAAGCCAACAAGACGGCGUACGACACUUCUGUCCAUACAAAGCUUGGUAAGGUGCCAUCUUAAUGCUCGAGUGGAAACUAUUAUUAUAGGAAAAUUCUACCAACGGUAAAUGUUCAUCCCAAUUACCUAGGAAUUCCAGAGUACAUGCUCUCAGCAUAUCUUCAAGUGUUUGUAUCGUUCGUUCGCUCUGACCAUCAGUCUGCGGAUGGUAAGCUGUACUUAAACACAACUUGGUACCCAAUUCCUCUUGUAGACUUUUCCAAAACCUCGAUGUGAAACGGCUAUCACGAUCCGACACAAUCGUUAACGGAACACCGUGAAGCCUCACAAUUUCCUUCACGUAAGAAUUCGCAAGCUUAUCCAUAGACCAUUUCUCCCUGGCUGCUAUGAAAUGCGCACUCUUAGUGAAUCGAUCAAUGACCACCCAAAUCAUGUCAUGACCACUUUUUGUUCUGGGUAGUUUAGUGACAAAAUCCAUAGCAAUGUCUUCCCAUUUACCCAUAGGCACAGGUAAAGGUUCUAAACUCCCGUAUGGUUUCUGAUGUUCUGUCUUGACUCUAGCACAAGUCACACACUCGGCCACAUACUUUGCAACAUCAAGCUUCAUCGUCGGCCACCAGUAGUAGGGUUUCAGGUCCCUAUACAUUUUAGUGCUACCGGGAUGAAUCGAGUACAUGGUCUUGUGAGCUUCUUCCAUCAGAAGAUCUCUGACUCCUCCUGUCUUAGGUAUCCAAAUCCGAUCUUGGAACACCUUCAGUCCAUGACUGUUUAUACCGAACACCAACGUUUUGCCCAAACGUUCCUCCUUUCGGUCAUUUUUCUCAGAAGCUUCCUCUUGAGCUUUCUUUAUACUUUCCACAAUUGUCGAAACGACUUCUAUUCUCAGCGCUCUUGGACUUUUUCCUUCAAGAUUGACUUUCCGACUGAGAGCAUUAGCGACAACAUUUGCUUUACCGGGGUGGUAAAGUAUCUCACAAUCGUAGUCCUUAAGUAAUUCUAGCCAGCGUCGUUGCCUCAUAUUUAACUCUUUCCGAUUAAAGAGAUAUUGGAGACGCUUAUGAUCAGUGAAAAGUUUGCACUUCGUGCCAUUGAGGUAAUGCCUCCAUAUUUUCAGAGCGAAAACUACUGCUGCUAACUCCAAAUCAUGAGUCGGGUAGUUAUUUUCAUGCUCUUUCAAUUGUCGAGACACAUAUGCGAUCACCUUUUCUUGUUGGGUCAAAACACAACCCAAUCCAACCCCAGACGCAUCGCUGUAAACAACGAAGUCUUUAACUCCAUCGGGUAGAGAAAGUAUCGGUGCCUCACAUAGUUUCUUCUUUAGCUUCUCGAAUGCUUCUUUAUGCUUAUCAUUCCAAGCAUAAGUAGCUCCUUUGUGGGUCAAAGCUGUCAAUGGACUAGCGAUCGAAGAAAAGCCUUGGAUAAACCUUCGGUAAUAUCCGGCUAAUCAUAAAAAGCUUCGGAUCUCCAUGGGACUUUUUGGUUGUUCCCACUUCAUUACAGCUUCAAUCUUUGUUGGAUCAACCAUUAUACCUUCUUGGUUGACCACGUGACCCAAGAAUUGGACUUCUCGAAUCCAAAAAUCACAUUUGGAGAACUUAGCAUACAACUUCUCCUCCUUCAAGACUUCCAACACUUCUCGCAAGUGUCUGCCAUGCUCCUCUUGGCUUUUCAAGUAAAUCAGAAUGUCAUCUAUGAACACUAUCACAGAUUUAUCAAGGAACGGAUUACAAACCCGAUUCAUUAAAUCCAUGAAUGCUGCUGGAGCAUUGGUUAGUCCAAACGACAUAACCAAAAAGUCGUAGUGUCCAUAUUGUAUUCUGAACGCAGUCUUCUCUAUAUCCUGAUCUCUUACUUUCAGCUGAUAAUAUCCUGACUUUAGAUCGAUCUUCGAGAAAUAGCUCAAACCUUGCAAUUGAUCAAACAGGUCAUCAAUCCUCGGCAACGGGUAUCUAUUCUUUAUUGUUGCUUUAUUCAGCUCUUUGUAAUCAAUGCACAUCCUCAUACUUCCAUCUUUCUUCUUUACGAAUANCACAGGGUGAUGAACUAGGUCGAAUGAAACCUUUGUCCAAUAACUCUUGAAGUUGCAUCAUCAGCUCCUUCAUCUUCGUCAGUGCUAAUCGAUAAGGUGUUUUUGCUAUUGGUGUCGUCCCUGGUAACAAGUCUAUUCUAAACUCCACUUGUCUAUCAGGCGGUAAUCUGGGAAGAUCUUCGGGAAAUACUUCCGGAUAAUCACAUACAACUGGAAUGCUCUGCAUCACCUUUUUCUCCUUUUUAGCAUCGAUCACGAAUGCUAGAUACGAUGUACAUCCUUUGGCCAAACACUUUCUGGCUUUCAUCAAUGAAAUGAUUCCAGAAUUUACUCUACGUUUAUCUCCAUACACCAUAAACGACUCUUUCUCAGGUGGGUUUACUUUGACUAUCUUCUUCUUGCACAAUAUCUCGGCGUCAUUGGCGCUAAGCCAAUCCACUCCAAGUACGAUGUCGAAACCGUUUAGUUCAAUAGGCAGUAAUUCCUCGUAGAACUUAUUCCCAUUCAAGUCAAUUAAGAUGCUUUUCAUACGAUCACUAACAGGUACAAACUUGCCACUAGCAACUUUGACUAAUAAAGCAUUAUCUAGUCUAUCAACAAGCAAAGCUAGUUUCCUACCAAAUUCAUGCGAAAUAAAGGAGUAGUUGGCUCCAGAAUCAAAUAAAAUUUGGGCAGGCAAUUCGUUAACGAGAAAGGUACCUGAAGCGACAUCAGCUUCAUCUUUAGCAGCUUCCAGUGUCAUCUGGAAUGCUCUCGCCUUUGGCUUUGGCGGAAUGUUGGGUCUAGCUGCCUCCUUCUUCUUCGGGCAGUCCCUCGACAUAUGACCCUCCUCACCACAACCAUAGCAAACUUUCUUUGUGAGGGUACACUCAUUGGCAUAGUGCCCUGGCUUUCCACACUUGUAGCAUGUGUUCGCCACCUCACAUCUUCCAUGAUGCUUCUUCUUACAUUUGUCGCACCAUUUCGCUUCACCUCCACCUCCCCUCGAACCAGACUUCGAGAACUUGUUUUUCUUGUUGGACCCUGAAGUUCCAUCGAACUUCCUCUUUUCUCCAACAUCUAUUCUUUCCAGACCCUUUUCCUUCUGCUGGGCCUCCACAUUCUUAGCUGCACGAACAGCCGUUUUCAGAGUGGUUGCCAUUUUGACUGUCGGACCAAAGUCAGCAGGCAGUCCGUUAGCAAACCUCUCAAUCUUGGAGAGUUCCGUUGGCACUAGGUACGGAAACAACUUCAUCUUCUCAGUAAAUGCAGUAGCAUAGUCAUCUAUGCUCAUCUUCCCCUUCUUCAAGUUUUGGAACUCAUUGUUCAGAUCAAUCAGAUCUAUCUCCGAACAAUACUGCACCCUUAACUGUUCCAAGAACUCCUCCCAUGACAUUUUCAGGGCUUCUCCUCGUGGCAUAGUAUCUGCCAACAACUUCCACCAACUCAAGACUCCAGUCUUCAGUUGUCUAACCGCAAAGACGGUCUUCUGUUUGUUGCUACAGUCGCAACUUUCAAAUACCAUCUCCAUUUCGGAGAUCCAAUCCAUUAUCUCAACAGGCUUUGGGCUCCCAGAAAGACUUGGCGGUUUGGCGCCCAAGAAAUUCUUGUACAUACGCCCAUCCUUGUUGUUUCUCCUUUCCGGAUCGUUCCUUCGUUCCCCUUGAGUCCCAACUUGACUCAUCAUGCGACUAUUGUUCCCUUCCUCCGAUUGCUCGGGAAUCAAUUCGGGUUCCUCAAUAGGUAUGAUAGGUUCAUCCCUAUUAUCAUGCAACAUCUGUCGCAUCUCAUCCCUUUGUUCGGCUAACAUAGCCCGAAUCAUGGCUUGCACCGCAGCCAUUGUUAUUGGUUCUGGUGCUGCUGCUACAACAGGUAUUUGCUCAAUCACUGGCGGUUGAUUCCUGUUUUCAUCUGCGUUUCCAACGCCACUUCUUGUUCUCACCAUUUUUGAUCUACACACCGAAUAAUUUCACCUUAUUACUCCAAACGAUUACAUGCUAGUUCUAAUAUCGUAUACAUACGCUUAGAAUCCUAAACACAUAAACCUUCAGAUCCGGUUGGCAACAAACCGUAGAUCCGAACAAAUAAUAUCAUAUAUGGCAACAUAUAACAUUUAGCACCAAAAAGCAUUUUAGGCAACUUUCCUAAAAUAAACUAGUGCUCGUGUCUAAAAUCCAACAGACACACAUCUCAAAAUUUCACUUAGCAUUCUAAGUUUAAGUCUAGAAAUCCUACAAAUUCCUAGUUCGCUUAAACUAAUGCUCUGAUACCAACUGUGACAUCCCCAAAAUCUCGGCCAGAAAAGACCGAUUUCAUUUAUGCUUUUUAAAAUAAUUUCAGAGUAAAUCCUUUUGAUUUAAAAGAGUUGCGGAAUUUGUUCCCAAAACAAAACAUGAUAAAAUAAUAUUUAUCAAAGCAUUUCAUCAAGAGAUGCAUUUUCAUUAUAUAAUCAAAACUCGGGAUGUCAUGUUCCGAUACAGACCAUAAAGCAUAAACGAUAACAUUACAAGUCAUUCAACAAAUAUAUACAUAUACAGACUUGUAAACAAAACAACUCGAUGAUUCAUCCAUCUUAUGCCCUUGCGCCACUUCCUGUAAUACAAAUAAAACUGAGUGGGUCAGGCUUGGGAGCCUGGUGAGCAUAUAGGGUUUUCAACCCACAAUAAAUAAAUUAUAUUUAAUUUCACCAACCAACAAUAACCCGAUUACCCAUUCCCGUUAUCCUCACUUUACGUCCCUAAAACAACAUCUAUCUCAAGGGACCUAAUCUAGGAUUUUCAUCGGGACGGACAUUACUGCUAAGGGGUUUCCUCAACAAUAGAUAUCCUAAAGGCAACCAUGAGGGGGAUAGAGUACACCGGUGAACACAUCGUUCACAACACCUACAAGUUAUGAAUCUGCUAGCAUUCCACAGGACUGUCUAGAAAGAGUUUGUGGUCGUUAUCCAUACUCCGCUGAAUAACUAGAUCAACAAUAACAACAACAUCGAGGCCUCUCAUCCGUUUAUCACACACCAACUAUCUACCCAUGUUCUACCCAACAUAUUAUUAGAUAAAAAUAUAUAAUUUUUAUACAUAGUUUAAAACCUGCAUAGCAUGUUCGAUCAAUACAUAUUCCACAUAACAGAUGAGGCACACCCACAUAACACGUAUUUCAUAGAAAAUAAAUCAGAUCUAUGAGAUAGAAGAGAGUGAAUAUACAUUCACACACAUAACAACAAAAUUAUACACAUAACACGUAUUUCGUAUAAAAUACUUCAUAAUUAUGCGUUAGAAGAAAGUAACUACACACUCACUUAAUCAGAAGAUGAUCGGACAGCACUACGACUUGUAGAAGUAGUAUUCUUCAGUAGAUCUGGAAGAUCUUCACAAAAACCGAGCUUCUCGCGAGCAGAGCUUCGGCUCGGGAAUUGCACUUCUCGGGAUCUUCGGGGCUUCGGGACUUGCUUCGGGGCUCAGGAUUGAUACCGGGGCUUCGGGAUACUUCUGGCACGCAAAACGAUGCAAAACGGGAGAAAGAGGAGAGAACAUGGCAAAUGGAGUCGGCUGCCCUCGCAACCCUUUUAUAGGAGGCUGAGGCCUCGCAGUACGCUGGGUGUACUCCUUACGCGGGGCGUACUCCUCCGAAAUCGUCAUUGCAUGCGUCAUCCGAAGAACUUGAGUGCAAGGGUCGUCAUGCUUCGUUGUACGCUGGGCGUACGCCAGUACGUUGGGCGUACUUCGGAUAAGUCCGGUGACUCCCAUUCGGAUAAUAUCGGGUUUAAUAAUUAAAUUUAAAUUUUAAUUAUUAAUAAAUUUCGAAAAUUCAUAUCUUCUUCAUACGAACUCUGUUUUCGACGUUCUUUAUGUCCACGCGUAGGUGAGACUACGCUCUACAACUUUCGUUUAGACUCCGUCGGCUAAUUUUGAUUUUAUUUUUAUUAUUUAUUUUUAGUAGGCCGGGACAGGAAAACUCCGUUAUAAAUUCAUAACUUCUUCAUCCGACAUCCGUUUUCGCCUAUCUUUCAUCGUUUCACUACAAUUAACGAGAUCUUCGAUUCUCAUUUAGAUUGUUUAGACCAACAAUCACUCGAUCUCGAAUUGAGUAUUCGGGCUGCAUACUGCUAAGUCGAAACUUCAGAAAAUCAUAACUUCCUCAUACGAAGUCAGAUUUGGGCGUUCUUUUUAUGCACGCUCUCGGUUUAACGAACUCUAUGACAUUCAUUUAGAUCACUAAGGCUAAAUAUCGGUCUAACGUAAAUGUCACUUUUUACGUCAUUCAGCGUUGCCGGUUCUGUCGCGAAACUUCGACAGGUCAUAACUUCUUCAUUAUAACUCGGAUUUCGACAUUCUCUAUAUAUUCGGAAACCUCAUUUCAACUACUACAACAUUUUCCAUAGAUAUCAGCUUUAUCUAACAUUUUAUUUUGACGCUUAUUUUUAUUCUUAAUUACAUUAAGACACACAAUUAAGCACAAAACACAUAAUACUCAAAUAAUACACUUUUAUUAUUUCAAAACGGGUUACAA
Molecule: long non-coding RNA, 7799 nt
Filed under: Lactuca sativa (garden lettuce)
Lineage: Eukaryota; Viridiplantae; Streptophyta; Magnoliopsida; Asterales; Asteraceae
Description: long non-coding RNA (LSAT_LNC007644)
Source: RNAcentral